Molecule: ribosomal RNA, 911 nt
Filed under: uncultured archaeon
Lineage: Archaea
Description: bacterial SSU rRNA
Rfam family: Archaeal small subunit ribosomal RNA
Source: RNAcentral
UCYGGUUGAUCCUGCCRGACCCGACUGCUAUCAGAGUGAGAUUAAGCCAUGCGAGUUAACGUAGCAAUACGUGGCGCACGGCUCAGUAACACGUAGUCAACAUGCCCAGAGGACGUGGAUAACCUCGGGAAACUGAGUCUAAACCGCGAUAAGUGAGGAUUUCUGGAAUGGUUCCUGACUAAAAUCUAUAUGGCCUCUGGAUUGGACUGCGGCCGAUCAGGCUGUUGGUGAGGUAAUGGCCCACCAAACCUGUAACCGGUACGGGCUCUGAGAGGAGGAGCCCGGAGAUGGGCACUGAGACAAGGGCCCAGGCCCUAUGGGGCGCAGCAGGCGCGAAACCUCUGCAAUAGGCGAAAGCCUGACAGGGUUACUCUGAGUGACUUUCGCUAAGAAAGUCUUUUGGCACCUCUAAAAAGGGUGCAGAAUAAGGGGUGGGCAAGUCUGGUGUCAGCCGCCGCGGUAAUACCAGCACCCCGAGUGGUCGGGACGAUUAUUGGGCCUAAAGCAUCCGUAGCCGGUUCUGCAAGUCCCCCGUUAAAUCCAGCUGCUCAACAGAUGGGCCGCGGAGGAUACUACAGAGCUAGGAGGCAGGAGAGGCAAGCGGUACUUAGUGGGUAGGGGUAAAAUCCGUUGAUCCAUUGAAGACCACCAGUGGCGAAGGCGGCUUGCCAGAACGCACUCGACGGUGAGGGAUGAAAGCUGGGGGAGCAAACCGGAUUAGAUACCCGGGUAGUCCCAGCUGUAAACGAUGCAGACUCGGUGAUGAAUAGGCUUCGUGCCUCUUCAGUGCCGCAGGGAAGCCGUUAAGUCUGCCGCCUGGGGAGUACGGUCGCAAGACUGAAACUUAAAGGAAUUGGCGGGGGAGCACCACAAGGGGUGAAGCCUGCGGUUCAAUUGGABUCAACGCCGGR